Small nucleolar RNA from Apodemus sylvaticus (European woodmouse), 128 nucleotides. RefSeq annotates it as small nucleolar RNA SNORA17. Lineage: Eukaryota; Metazoa; Chordata; Mammalia; Rodentia; Muridae. The transcript has a single exon. The record is from RefSeq and is a predicted model, not a curated record.
AUCGCCCCUAGAGGCAUUACAGAUGUGGCUGCUAUGUCACAUAUGUGUCAGUAGGUGGCAGAGUAGAGAAAGCCUAUGUCUAUGCUUAAUGUUCUGGCCUAGGACCAGAUGAACCAGAGACUACUACC